CACGUGUCUCUCUGCGCGCUGGGCCCGGGCGGGACAGAGCCAUGGGGGGAGGGGCCGGACGCCUGGGUUCCCGGGGGGGGCGCCUCACUCCCGCCCCGCAGCCCCGGCCUGGGCGGUGGUGAUGUGCAGUGCUGGAGCUGAGGACUCUGGGGCAUCUGGCUGGAUUCUCGCCCCAUGUCUAUCUCUGACCUGAGCCCAGCAUGGUGAGACCCCCGGGUUCUCUGGAUGGAGAGCCUAUGGCCAGAACAGCGCAGAGGCAGGGCGGUGGUGAUGUGCAGUGCUGGAGCUGAGGACUCUGGGGCAUCUGGCUGGAUUCUCGCCCCAUGUCUAUCUCUGACCUGAGCCCAGCAUGGUGAGACCCCCGGGAUCUCUGGAUGGAGAGCCUAUGGCCAGAACAGCGCAGAGGCAGGGUUCUGUGACACUCGGCCUCAGCCCAGGAGCCUCCCAGCUAUCUGGGUAAGUUUGGAAGGGGCUAGGUCGCUGCCGGCGUUGGCUACAGAGAGGAGAAUCCAGGGCCCUGCUCGGUGGGGGACGGGAACUGAAAGGAGAAGUGGGGGGAGCGCCCAGCCCCCACCCCCGCCUGCGUCGCUGUUCAGUGCGGACAGGAGCCGGCCCCCCCAGCGUCCUGGGGGGGGAGCCUGGGAGCGUCACACACACAACUGGGCUGGCGCCUCAAUAAACAAUUGUGCCACAAA
Chelonoidis abingdonii (Abingdon island giant tortoise) is the source of this 695-nucleotide non-coding RNA. Lineage: Eukaryota; Metazoa; Chordata; Testudines; Testudinidae. The record is from RefSeq and is a predicted model, not a curated record.